UGGGGAAUUUUGGACAAUGGGGGAAACCCUGAUCCAGCCAUCCCGCGUGUGCGAUGAAGGCCUUCGGGUUGUAAAGCACUUUUGGCAGGAAAGAAACGUCAUGGGUUAAUACCCCGUGAAACUGACGGUACCUGCAGAAUAAGCACCGGCUAACUACGUGCCAGCAGCCGCGGUAAUACGUAGGGUGCAAGCGUUAAUCGGAAUUACUGGGCGUAAAGCGUGCGCAGGCGGUUCGUAAAGAAAGAUGUGAAAUCCCAGAGCUCAACUUUGGAACUGCAUUUUUAACUACCGGGCUAGAGUGUGUCAGAGGGAGGUGGAAUUCCGCGUGUAGCAGUGAAAUGCGUAGAUAGGCGGAGGAACACCGAUGGCGAAGGCAGCCUCCUGGGAUAACACUGACGCUAAUGCACGAAAGCGGGGGGAGCAAACAGG
Molecule: ribosomal RNA, 429 nt
Filed under: Acidobacteriota bacterium
Lineage: Bacteria; Pseudomonadati; Acidobacteriota
Description: Acidobacteria bacterium partial 16S ribosomal RNA
Rfam family: Bacterial small subunit ribosomal RNA
Source: RNAcentral